Molecule: ribosomal RNA, 465 nt
Filed under: uncultured bacterium
Lineage: Bacteria
Description: partial 16S ribosomal RNA
Rfam family: Bacterial small subunit ribosomal RNA
Source: RNAcentral
GACGAACGCUGGCGGCGUGCUUAACACAUGCAAGUCGAACGGUAAGGCUCCAGCUUGCUGGGGUACACGAGUGGCGAACGGGUGAGUAACACGUGGGUGACCUGCCCUGCACUUCGGGAUAAGCCUGGGAAACUGGGUCUAAUACCGGAUAGGACCGCACCGUGAGGGUGUGGUGGAAAGUUUUUUCGGUGUGGGAUGGGCCCGCGGCCUAUCAGCUUGUUGGUGGGGUAAUGGCCUACCAAGGCGGCGACGGGUAGCCGGCCUGAGAGGGUGGACGGCCACAUUGGGACUGAGACACGGCCCAGACUCCUACGGGAGGCAGCAGUGGGGAAUAUUGCACAAUGGGCGGAAGCCUGAUGCAGCGACGCCGCGUGGGGGAUGACGGCCUUCGGGUUGUAAACUCCUUUCACCAUCGACGAAGGGUUUCUGACGGUAGAUGGAGAAGAAGCACUGGCUAACUACGUG